GUGAGGUAACGGCUCACCAAGGCGACGACGGGUAGCUGGUCUGAGAGGAUGGCCAGCCACAUUGGGACUGAGACACGGCCCAGACUCCUACGGGAGGCAGCAGUGGGGAAUAUUGCGCAAUGGCCGCAAGGCUGACGCAGCGACGCCGCGUGCGGGAUGAAGGCCCUAGGGUUGUAAACCGCUUUCAGUAGGGAAGAAAAUGACGGUACCUACAGAAGAAGGUGCGGCCAACUACGUGCCAGCAGCCGCGGUGACACGUAGGCACCAAGCGUUAUCCGGAUUUAUUGGGCGUAAAGAGCUCGUAGGCGGUUUGGUAAGUCGGGUGUGAAAACUCUGGGCUCAACCCAGAGAGGCCACUCGAUACUGCUAUGACUAGAGUACGGUAGGGGAGCGGGGAAUUCCUGGUGUAGCGGUGAAAUGCGCAGAUAUCAGGAGGAACACCAGCGGCGAAGGCGCCGCUCUGGGCCGUAACUGACGCUGAGGAGCGAAAGCAUGGGUAGCAAACAGGAUUAGAUACCCUGGUAGUCCAUGCCGUAAACGUUGGGCACUAGGUGUGGGUCUCAACCAACGAGAUCCGCGCCGUCGCUAACGCAUUAAGUG
This 600-nucleotide ribosomal RNA is filed under the name uncultured Actinomycetes bacterium. RNAcentral's name for it is "bacterial SSU rRNA". It matches the Rfam family "Bacterial small subunit ribosomal RNA", at positions 252 to 866 of the family's 1533-position model. Lineage: Bacteria; Bacillati; Actinomycetota; Actinomycetes. The record is from RNAcentral.